Molecule: long non-coding RNA, 2409 nt
Organism: Cyprinus carpio (common carp)
Lineage: Eukaryota; Metazoa; Chordata; Actinopteri; Cypriniformes; Cyprinidae
Exons: 2
Source: RefSeq, a predicted model, not a curated record
UGCGGAAUUGUGGUUGACGCGUGGUCAGGCGUUUUUUCUGAUGGGCUUCAGAUGUGAAGUGACACACAGAUGGAAGUGCCGAUGGCAUUUACAGCAGGAGAGAAAAAAACUAGGCUCCUUUUUUUCUUCUAGCCUACAGACACACACACACACACAUACACACACACACACCGUCUCUCUAGCUCUCGCGCGCACGCACACACACUUACCGUAUACUGUACACCAAGCGCGAGCUCUUCCGGGUCGGUGCAGGCUGCGGAGUAAAAACACACACUUAAAUCUGAAUGGGAUCGAUCACACGCGUCCGUAACGAACCUUUUUAACAGAGAGAGAGUGGGGACGUGGACGUGCGGGCCGCGGAGAGGGAACAGGUACCGCCCGCGUGCGUUCGGUAGCACGCCGCUUUUCUCCGUGAGUCGUAAUAACGAAGCCCGUUAGAUGCCAGACUGAUGCUCUAUAAUGCAUGAGAUGACUGAUAGCGCCUGCCACGGUUUGACCAUUUGAAUUUGUUUUUAUUCACUAAUCCUUCGCGGUUACUAUGAUUUGUAAAUAAUUUCUAAUGAAAAAAGAUAUCUGUUAAAAUUCUGUUCGUAUAUUUCUAUUUAUGUUUUAUAUGAAAUUGUAGCCUAAAUAUAGCCUACGGUAAGAAAUAAUACACGCUUGCUUAAACACGUAGGCUAUUUUAUCCAGAUAUAUUUUACUAGAAAUAUUAUAGAUGUAUUUCCACAUGAAAGAUAUCGUGAUUUGCAUAGAUAAAUGAUAUUAAAACAAUGAAAAUCAGAUGAUGCUAUGUGUAGAAUUAUGACGUUUCUGUGUAGAUCAUUUCAGCUAAUUUCUAAACAAAAUAUUUUAUCGUGGCCAUUAUAUAUUGGUAGAUAAAUCGUGGUGUUUGUAUAUAUGACAUCUUCAGCAUUAAAAUUUUAGAAUUUCCAGUCUUUUGUUUUUAUUAUUCUUUUAUAUUUGAUUUUGUUUUUAUUGAAAUAUUAACAUGUAGAUAUGCAUAAAUCAUUACAGAUGUUCUGUUGCAGGUUUGCAGUGGAAACUCACUGAAGAGGAAACUGCUGUAUGUCCAUCUCCAUGUGACCUCUGACCUCUGGGGAAGCUGUGAGUGACCUUUAUCUUCUAAUCUGCAAAAACUAACAUCACUCAGUAGAGCAUUGAGACAUGCAUGUAAACAAAGUGUUUGAUGAACCGUUUUCCUCGACCAUCUUAAACCACCUGAUAUACAAAUAGAUCAUAACACAUGUUAAAAUCUUAUUCAAAUCACACACCUUUCAUGCAGCUUCAUGAGCUUGAGGGGAACUGACAAUACAUUCAUUCAAAAUCACACUGGUACUAGUUGCUUAAAAGUCAAUGAUAAAAUGGCUUAUAAAAGUGGAGCUCUAAGGGUUAGAUGUUUGCAAAUGCCACCUGGAUUGAUAUUUUGUUUCCUAAUUAAAUGACAUUUAUACCUUCAAGGGUGACAUAAGGCCUGUUCACACCAAGAAUAAAGAUAUACCAGGUAACCAUAACUCUAAAAGUGUUAAAAAAUCAACUCUUAAAGAAUAGCAAAGUUCACAACAAAAUUGAUAAGGACACAGAGAAAUAUAUCGUUCAGCGUUAAAAAGUGAAACAUUAUCGUCUGGGUGGACACUAUAGAUAAUUAUCAUUAGUUAUACUCAUCGUUCUUGGUGUGAAUGUGCUUUAAUGUGUAAUGUUUUUUGUUGUUGUUUGAGCCACUGUAAGAUGUAUCAUUGACUUUUGUUAUAGCUUGACAAUUCCAUAUUUUUGUCCAUUACUUUUACGCUUAUGGUCAUGACCUUCCCGCUCAUCUUUGUUGCGUUUAAAGGCAUGCGAAGGCUUCAAAUGGGUGUUUUUGUUAUAGCCGGUGCUCAGAGCUCACAGCUAUUGUCUGUAGAUACACUCUCAUUUAACAGGCAGCUCUGGAUACCAGUCUACAUGUGGAAAGCAUUUCUUAUCACCAUCCAGUCCACUGCUAACUGCUCCCUGCUGCAUCAGAACCAUCAUUUCUGCUUUGAAACGAAUAACAAUGCAACAAUAAAGGCCUCAGUUUUCUGUGAUAAGCGCUAACAUAAAGAAAUGAUCUAGCCACGGUAAAGGCUCAUUUAGCCAGCCGUAUCUGUGCGAUUAGCAGAAAUGACAGGUAGUGAGGGGAUAUUUGAGGAGAUUUUAAAUGAGUUCAGUGGCGGAGAGUCCGCAUCAGGUGGAAUACUUACUUCAAAGCUGCUGUGUGGGAGCUAAAUACUAGUCAUACUGGCAGAACUACAAAGAAACAGACUGAUAAGAAGAGUAUUUUUACCGUGUUGUAUUCUACCUUUCAUAUGUGUCGAUGUAAAUGCACUUUUAUAGUAUAUUAAUAAAAUUACAACAUUUGCCCUCAUUAUUUCAUUGCUCAAAAUAUCAUAUUAC